Molecule: unclassified non-coding RNA, 257 nt
Filed under: plant metagenome
Description: partial contains small subunit ribosomal RNA, internal transcribed spacer 1, and 5.8S ribosomal RNA
Source: RNAcentral
UUUCCGUAGGUGAACCUGCGGAAGGAUCAUUAACGAGUUAGGGUCUUCUAGGCCCGACCUCCCAACCCUUUGUUUACUGAACCAUUGUUGCCUCGGUGGGUCCGUCUUACGACCGCCGGGGGAUCGCCGCGAGGCGCCCCCUGGCCAGCGCCCACCGAUAGCCCAACCUUUAAAACCCUUUGUGAACCGUGUCUUAUGUCUAAAUUUAUGAUUAAACAAUCAAAACAAAACUUUCAACAACGGAUCUCUUGGUUCUG